This 390-nucleotide ribosomal RNA is filed under the name uncultured bacterium. Its description in RNAcentral is "bacterial SSU rRNA". It matches the Rfam family "Bacterial small subunit ribosomal RNA", at positions 524 to 916 of the family's 1533-position model. The record is from RNAcentral.
UACGGAGGGAGCGAACGUUGUUCGGAUUCACUGGGCGUAAAGGGCGUGUAGGCGGCUUGGUAAGUCAGGGGUGAAAUCCCGCGGCUCAACCGCGGAGUUGCCUUUGAAACUGCCGAGCUCGAGUACCGGAGAGGAGGGUGGAAUUCCUGGUGUAGCGGUGAAAUGCGUAGAUAUCAGGAGGAACACCGGUGGCGAAGGCGGCCCUCUGGACGGAUACUGACGCUGAGACGCGAAAGCGUGGGGAGCAAACAGGAUUAGAUACCCUGGUAGUCCACGCCUUAAACGAUGGAUACUAAGUGUCGGCGGGUUACCGCCGGUGCUGCAGCUAACGCAUUAAGUAUCCCGCCUGGGAAGUACGGCCGCAAGGUUGAAACUUAAAGGAAUUGACGG